UGGGGAAUAUUGGACAAUGGGCGAAAGCCUGAUCCAGCCAUGCCGCGUGGAUGAUGAAGGCCCUAGGGUUGUAAAGUCCUUUCGACGGGGAAGAUAAUGACGGUACCCGUAGAAGAAGCCCCGGCUAACUUCGUGCCAGCAGCCGCGGUAAUACGAAGGGGGCUAGCGUUGCUCGGAAUCACUGGGCGUAAAGCGCACGUAGGCGGUUUUCUAAGUCAGGGGUGAAAUCCCGGGGCUCAACUCCGGAACUGCCUUUGAUACUGGAGAACUUGAGUUCGGGAGAGGUGAGUGGAACUGCGAGUGUAGAGGUGAAAUUCGUAGAUAUUCGCAAGAACACCAGUGGCGAAGGCGGCUCACUGGCCCGAUACUGACGCUGAGGUGCGAAAGCGUGGGGAGCAAACA
This 402-nucleotide ribosomal RNA is filed under the name uncultured prokaryote. RNAcentral's name for it is "bacterial SSU rRNA". It matches the Rfam family "Bacterial small subunit ribosomal RNA", at positions 355 to 774 of the family's 1533-position model. The record is from RNAcentral.